This 482-nucleotide ribosomal RNA is filed under the name uncultured bacterium. Its description in RNAcentral is "partial 16S ribosomal RNA". It matches the Rfam family "Bacterial small subunit ribosomal RNA", at positions 30 to 507 of the family's 1533-position model. The record is from RNAcentral.
AUUGAACGCUGGCGGCAUGCCUUACACAUGCAAGUCGAGCGGUAACGGGCCUUCGGGUGCCGACGAGUGGCGAACGGGUGAGUAAUACAUCGGAACGUGCCCGAUCGUGGAGGAUAACGAGGCGAAAGCUUUGCUAAUACCGCAUACGAUCUACGGAUGAAAGCAGGGGACCGCAAGGCCUUGCGCGGACGGAGCGGCCGAUGGCAGAUUAGGUAGUUGGUGGGAUAAAAGCUUACCAAGCCGACGAUCUGUAGCUGGUCUGAGAGGAUGAUCAGCCACACUGGGACUGAGACACGGCCCAGACUCCUACGGGAGGCAGCAGUGGGGAAUUUUGGACAAUGGGCGCAAGCCUGAUCCAGCCAUGCCGCGUGCAGGAUGAAGGCCUUCAGGUUGUAAACUGCUUUUGUACGGAACGAAAAGCCUUCUUUUAAUACAGGAGGGUCAUGACGGUACCGUAAGAAUAAGCACCGGCUAACUACGUG